Glossina morsitans morsitans is the source of this 72-nucleotide non-coding RNA. The record is from Rfam. Lineage: Eukaryota; Metazoa; Arthropoda; Insecta; Diptera; Glossinidae.
UAUCGUAUGGUCUAGCGGUUAGGGUGUCCGUCUCACAGUCGGAAGACCCAGGUUCGACUCCUGGUGCGGUAG